AUACGGAGGAUCCGAGCGUUAUCCGGAUUUAUUGGGUUUAAAGGGAGCGUAGGCGGGAGAUCAAGUCAGCUGUGAAAUGUAGAUGCUCAACAUCUGCACUGCAGUUGAAACUGGUUUUCUUGAGUGCGUAAGGGGCAGGCGGAAUUCGUCGUGUAGCGGUGAAAUGCUUAGAUAUGACGAAGAACUCCGAUCGCGAAGGCAGCCUGCCGGGCCGCGACUGACGCUGAAGCUCGAAGGUGCGGGUAUCGAACAGGAUUAGAUACCCUGGUAGUCCGCACAGUAAACGAUGGAUACUCGCUGUCGGCGAUAUACGGUCGGUGGCCAAGCGAAAGCGUUAAGUAUCCCACCUGGGGAGUACGCCGGCAACGGUGAAACUCAAAGGAAUUGACGGGGG
Molecule: ribosomal RNA, 394 nt
Filed under: uncultured bacterium
Lineage: Bacteria
Description: partial 16S ribosomal RNA
Rfam family: Bacterial small subunit ribosomal RNA
Source: RNAcentral